RNAcentral lists this ribosomal RNA (481 nucleotides) under uncultured bacterium. Its description in RNAcentral is "bacterial SSU rRNA". It matches the Rfam family "Bacterial small subunit ribosomal RNA", at positions 28 to 521 of the family's 1533-position model. The record is from RNAcentral.
GACGAACGCUGGCGGCGCGCCUAACACAUGCAAGUCGAACGAGCGAGAGAGAGCUUGCUUUCUCGAGCGAGUGGCGAACGGGUGAGUAACGCGUGAGGAACCUGCCUCAAAGAGGGGGACAACAGUUGGAAACGACUGCUAAUACCGCAUAAGCCCACGGCUCGGCAUCGAGCAGGGGGAAAAGGAGCAAUCCGCUUUGAGAUGGCCUCGCGUCCGAUUAGCUAGUUGGUGAGGUAAUGGCCCACCAAGGCGACGAUCGGUAGCCGGACUGAGAGGUUGAACGGCCACAUUGGGACUGAGACACGGCCCAGACUCCUACGGGAGGCAGCAGUGGGGAAUAUUGCACAAUGGGGGAAACCCUGAUGCAGCGACGCCGCGUGAGUGAUGAAGUAUUUCGGUAUGUAAAAACUCUAUCAGCAGGGAAGAUAAUGACGGUACCUGACUAAGAAGCACCGGCUAAAUACGUGCCAGCAGCCGCGGU